AACGAUGAAGCCCAGCUUGCUGGGUGGAUUAGUGGCGAACGGGUGAGUAACACGUGGGUGAUCUGCCCUGCACUUCGGGAUAAGCCUGGGAAACUGGGUCUAAUACCGGAUAGGACCUCGGGAUGCAUGUUCCGGGGUGGAAAGGUUUUCCGGUGCAGGAUGGGCCCGCGGCCUAUCAGCUUGUUGGUGGGGUAACGGCCCACCAAGGCGACGACGGGUAGCCGGCCUGAGAGGGCGACCGGCCACACUGGGACUGAGACACGGCCCAGACUCCUACGGGAGGCAGCAGUGGGGAAUAUUGCACAAUGGGCGCAAGCCUGAUGCAGCGACGCCGCGUGAGGGAUGACGGCCUUCGGGUUGUAAACCUCUUUCAGUACCGACGAAGCGCAAGUGACGGUAGGUACAGAAGAAGCACCGGCCAACUACGUGCCAGCAGCCGCGGUAAUACGUAGGGUGCGAGCGUUGUCCGGAAUUACUGGGCGUAAAGAGCUCGUAGGCGGUUUGUCGCGUCGUCUGUGAAAACCCGCAGCUCAACUGCGGGCUUGCAGGCGAUACGGGCAGACUUGAGUACUGCAGGGGAGACUGGAAUUCCUGGUGUAGCGGUGAAAUGCGCAGAUAUCAGGAGGAACACCGGUGGCGAAGGCGGGUCUCUGGGCAGUAACUGACGCUGANGAGCGAAAGCGUGGGUAGCGAACAGGAUUAGAUACCCUGGUAGUCCACGCCGUAAACGGUGGGCGCUAGGUGUGGGUUUCCUUCCACGGGAUCCGUGCCGUAGCUAACGCAUUAAGCGCCCCGCCUGGGGAGUACGGCC
This 811-nucleotide ribosomal RNA is filed under the name Rhodococcus sp. FS-YC6707. RNAcentral describes it as "bacterial SSU rRNA". It matches the Rfam family "Bacterial small subunit ribosomal RNA", at positions 65 to 887 of the family's 1533-position model. Lineage: Bacteria; Bacillati; Actinomycetota; Actinomycetes; Mycobacteriales; Nocardiaceae. The record is from RNAcentral.